AUGCAGUCGAGCUCGUGUGCCUCCCGCCGGCGGCCGCUCCGACCUCGCCGCCUGCUGCCCNNNNNGAUGACAGCGGCCACUCCGGCACCACCGGCGGCCGCUCCGACCUCGCCGCCCGCUGCCCCAGCCCCCGCCGCUCUGCUUGCCGCGGCAGCCCUCGCCCCGACCAUCCGAGGCCACCUCCAGAAGCCAGCAAUGACGGCGACCACUCCAGCACCAUUGGCCACCGGCGCCUCCGUCGGCCCUGUUCAGACUGUUCUGGCAACUGAAGCUUCGUUGCGCCCCUCUUGCGGGCAGGUGCGUGCCUCCAUCCAGUUGGAUGGGGGGUUGGAGGUCGUCGUCACUGCUAGUGCGGGCUCCGACCUGGACCUCGGGACGUUGCUGCCUUCACCGGCGGGUGAGGCCCCUGCAGCCCCUCCUGGGUUCCUGUGGGUUGGAAUGUCCGCUGAUGCCACCGACGACGACACCGAUGAGGAGGAGUUGGCACCGCAGACACCGCAGGCUGCCCCAGUGGCGUGUGUGGAGCCUGAUGCGAGGGUGUGCGGGGACCGACAAAAGGUGGCGCCUCCUGUGCGUCCGGCCUGUGGAGAUUGGCGAGGAUGUUUCGACCGUGAGGCGACGCCGGCAAUUCCUGAGUGUCACACUCCAUGCGGGAAUGUGUUGGAGGGCUGGCAGCUCGUCUCAAGAAGGCGGCACCCGACUUUCGCCGCUUUCUGCUGCCCUGCUGUCAAUAUGAGGCGCCCGCCUUCGGCAUGGCUAAGAGAUAGGUGUUUUCGGUGCCUCUGUCGAGGUCAUCGCGCACACUCUUGCAGGGAUCCUAUCCGAUGCAUGGACUGUCUUCGAUCCGGUCACAUCACCCGCUUUUGCCGUGCAAGGAAGCCUGUUCACCAAACUUCGCCGCGCCAAUGUCCUGCUCCAUCGCCUGCACCCACCAGUGAAGGCACCACAUCAGAUGUGUCGUUCCAGCCUGUCUUGACUGUGCAAUCUGGAUUGGCCGAGGAGACCGAGUUGCUUCUUGACUGCCUUGCGCGAGUUGAGAGUGUUUUAGGGAGAGCGGAGGCCGCCCUCGCCAAACUUGAGGUUGUGCCAGUUGUGUCUCCGCUGCCUGAGAUUUAG
This 1116-nucleotide ribosomal RNA is filed under the name Triticum aestivum (bread wheat). RNAcentral describes it as "partial small subunit ribosomal RNA". Lineage: Eukaryota; Viridiplantae; Streptophyta; Magnoliopsida; Poales; Poaceae. The record is from RNAcentral.